This 492-nucleotide ribosomal RNA is filed under the name uncultured bacterium. Its description in RNAcentral is "partial 16S ribosomal RNA". It matches the Rfam family "Bacterial small subunit ribosomal RNA", at positions 29 to 507 of the family's 1533-position model. The record is from RNAcentral.
AGUGAACGCUGGCGGUAGGCCUAACACAUGCAAGUCGAACGGCAGCACAGUAAGAGCUUGCUCUUACGGGUGGCGAGUGGCGGACGGGUGAGGAAUAAAUCGGAAUCUACUUUUUCGGGGGGGAUAACGUAGGGAAACUUACGCUAAUACCGCAUACGACCGACGGGUGAAAGCAGGGGAUCUUCGGACCUUGCGCGAUGGAAUGAGCCGAUGUCGGAUUAGCUAGUGGGCGGGGUAAAGGCCCACCAAGGCGACGAUCCGUAGCUGGUCUGAGAGGAUGAUCGGCCGCACUGGAACGUGGACACGGACCAUGCUCCUGCGAGAGGGAGCAGAGGGCAAUGUUAGACAAUAGGCGCAAAUAUGGUCCAGCCGUACCACGCGGGAGGCAGCAACCUCCGGUUUGUGAAGACCGUUUGUUGGGAAAAAACAUCAGCAGGCUAAUACGCCGCUGUUCUGACGGUACCCGAAGAAUAAGCACCGGCUAACUUCGUG